Molecule: ribosomal RNA, 467 nt
Filed under: uncultured bacterium
Lineage: Bacteria
Description: partial 16S ribosomal RNA
Rfam family: Bacterial small subunit ribosomal RNA
Source: RNAcentral
GACGAACGCUGGCGGCGUGCUUAACACAUGCAAGUCGAACGGAAAGGCCCUGCUUUUGUGGGGUGCUCGAGUGGCGAACGGGUGAGUAACACGUGAGUAACCUGCCCUUGACUUUCGGAUAACUUCAGGAAACUGGGGCUCAUACCGGAUAUGAUCUCCUGCUGCAUGGUGGGGGUUGGAAAGUUUCGGCGGUUGGGGCUGUACUCGCGGCUUAUCAGCUUGUUGGUGGGGUAGUGGCUUACCAAGGCUUCGACGGGUAGCCGGCCUGAGAGGGUGACCGGGCACAUUGGGAUUGAGAUAGGGCCAAGAGGGGAACGGGAGGAAGGAGUGGGGAAGAGAGGACAAUGGGCGGAAGGAGGAUGGAGGAACGCCGGGUGCGGGAUGACGGCCUUCGGGUUGGAAAAAGAUUGCGCGUGUGACGAAGCGUGAGUGACGGUAAUGGGGAAAGAAGCACGGGCUAACUAGGU